Molecule: long non-coding RNA, 1052 nt
Organism: Oreochromis niloticus (Nile tilapia)
Lineage: Eukaryota; Metazoa; Chordata; Actinopteri; Cichliformes; Cichlidae
Exons: 2
Source: RefSeq, a predicted model, not a curated record
AAGGUCAAGGGCGGAAGUUUCCUUAUUUACACGCUAACCAUUUAACAGUAGUAUUCCACCAAGUCUUCCACGGACUGCCACGUCGAGAUCCGUGACGACAAGGCCUCUUCCCCAGGUUCCGGUGAGCACAGCAAGACAAAUCAUCACUUGGUCGUAAUGAGGCAGCUUAAAGGCAAGCCGAAGAAAGAAACCUCUAAGGACAAGAAGGAGCGCAAGCAGGCAAUGCAAGAAGCCCGUCAGCAGGUUGCUACUGUAGUCCUGCCCACACUGGCUGUAGUGGUCUUACUUAUCAUCGUCUUUGUCUACGUGGCCACCAGGCCUGACGCUAUUGAGUAGACACUAAAGAAGCAUCUACUUCCCAACUGUUGUGGCAAAUUGACUUGGUUAUAUCGAAAGGAUUGACCCUAUCAUGUGAUGACCAUCCUUGUGCAGGCCAGUUACUGGGCCUAGGACUAUUGUUUAUUUUAAGGAAACCCUUCUUCAAAGUGUGUCUUCAUGCUGCAAAAAGAAGAAAACAUUGCUCCUUGGUGCCUUCAAAUGUAUGAGGGUAAAACCACAUUUAAUCUUGGUUGUUAGAGUUACAGCCACUGAUGGAUUUGUGUGUAUGUUUUACAAAACAGUGCACUAUCCUGCGUACCAAAGUACUUAUGCAGAGCUUUCAAAAUGUGACCACAGGUGUUUAAUGUCUAAAAUGUUCAAUGUAAAACAUUGGUCUUGUGACUUGUGCUGUUAAAAAUAUUUCAAAUCAAUGCAAACAAGGUCCCAGGCCUUUACCACACUUUAGACAUAUCUCACAUUUACAGUAUCUGUAAAAAUAUGUGUGACAUGUUUAGAAUAAUUCUUGCGCCUACCUUAUGUGAAUGUCACUGUGAAAUAUUUUAUUUUAAGACCAGUAGGAUCACACAUGCAUUUCUUCAUCUUCAAAAUGUUUAGAAACCUGAUCCGCAAAGUCAUUGACAUCCAAACAUUUGAGUCAUUCAUGACUUGUUCAAAGUGUAACAAAGUGCCUUAUAAGAGAUUUGCAUUUUUGCAAAUAAAGAGGUAAAACACAA